RNAcentral lists this ribosomal RNA (425 nucleotides) under uncultured bacterium. RNAcentral's name for it is "partial 16S ribosomal RNA". It matches the Rfam family "Bacterial small subunit ribosomal RNA", at positions 359 to 776 of the family's 1533-position model. The record is from RNAcentral.
GAAUUUUGGACAAUGGGCGAAAGCCUGAUCCAGCAAUGCCGCGUGCAGGAUGAAGGCCUUCGGGUUGUAAACUGCUUUUGUACGGAACGAAAAGCUUUGGGUUAAUACCCUGGAGUCAUGACGGUACCGUAAGAAUAAGAAGCGGCUAAACACCGUCAAGCAGCCGCGGUAAUACGUAGGGUGCAAGCGUUAAUCCGCAUUACUGGGCGUAAAGCGUGCGCAGGCGGGUUUGUAAGACAGAGGUGAAAUCCCCGGGCUCAACCUGGGAACUGCCUUUGUGACUGCAAGGCUAGAGUACGGCAGAGGGGGGUGGAAUUCCGCGUGUAGCAGUGAAAUGCGUAGAUAUGCGGAGGAACACCGAUGGCGAAGGCAACCCCCUGGGCCUGUACUGACGCUCAUGCACGAAAGCGUGGGGAGCAAACAGG